RNAcentral lists this ribosomal RNA (61 nucleotides) under Lasiodiplodia theobromae. RNAcentral describes it as "partial 28S ribosomal RNA". Lineage: Eukaryota; Fungi; Ascomycota; Dothideomycetes; Botryosphaeriales; Botryosphaeriaceae. RNAcentral also lists the same sequence under 2 other names. The record is from RNAcentral.
GUUGACCUCGGAUCAGGUAGGGAUACCCGCUGAACUUAAGCAUAUCAAUAAGCGGGAGGAA